RNAcentral lists this long non-coding RNA (1401 nucleotides) under Sus scrofa (pig). RNAcentral describes it as "lncRNA (ENSSSCG00005019150.1)". The record is from RNAcentral. Lineage: Eukaryota; Metazoa; Chordata; Mammalia; Artiodactyla; Suidae.
GCUCUCCCAUUUAGGCUCCCUAACGCCCUCUGAACUAGAUGACCUUAUCCCAAACCUAAGGGCCACUUGCGCUUCUGCAAUUCAACAUUUUUCAGAUUUCAGAGAGUCCCUAAGGAGCCUGGACUACACAAGCACGAAGCCCUUCCUUGGACACUGUCAACCACGUGGACAUUCCUGCAGCACAAAGUGCGCACAGAUACAGAAGGAAGGAGGCUGCUGCUUCAGGUCACAUCCGGUUUUACUGCCCCAAGUGUUGUGCCAAACCUAGACGGAAAAACACCCCAAACCUGCUUUCCGAGGGUGAAUUUCGGAGUUGAAGGUUGGAUGUGCUAUCAACUCCAUUUUCCAGGCCAAGACCCUGGGGCUCGGAGAGGAUGGGGUGCCUUGCCUAUUGGCACCGGCAGCAGUGCUUGGGCCAGAGUCAACCAGAAAAUCUCAGAUUCCAGAGCCUGUGCCUAAAUGCCCCCAGCCUGGCCCACAGGCUUUCUUGGGUGUCUACGGAAAAGAGAUGUGUCUGAAGUCUUUCUGCCACCCCAAAGACUCAGACUUUCCUUCCCAUCCCUCCGGCUCUCAUCAUUUGUCUUCUCCGUGACCUCACCCAAAAAUGAAGAAGGGAAGAUACUGUUUUUCCUUCAGCUAUCACAGACACAGGCAGCAUCAGCCUUGAUCUCUUUACUCCCUUAGGAAUCUGAGGUUUGCUCCUGAGAGACAGAGUUGAGAAGGAAAGGAAGGGAGAGUGCGGAGAAGGGAGGGGAGGGGUGGGGACCCCGGGGGGGUGGGGAGGGGGAAAAGAGAGAGAAAGGACCAGAAGCCUGGAAUCCAACAGUGAUCAAAGCAUUAUAAAAAUCCUAAUGAUUUAAGAUGUCUGGGCUGCUGCAGUGUCCGCUGCCCCCAGCCUCUCACUCCCCUGCUAGAGCCGGCUGCAUAAGGAGACGCCUCUAGGAGUGGAUGGUGGCCAGGGCUUCAGAUCCGGGCAGUACAGCCCCCACAGGCUGGUAAAAUGCUCAGCUCACUGACCGCAUCCAGCAGAGGUGGGGGUUCAAGGGCAGAGUUCAGAGGAAAGGGUGUGCUACCUAGGGAUGUGUGAGAACUUGAGAAUGACAUGGGACUUUACCGGGCUAGAAGAAUGGGGGGUCUGAUCAACCCAGUGCUCAAGGAGUCAGUUGACACUGGCUGCUUUCAGGGUGAUGGGAGGUACCACGACGUGCAGAGGGACUUGCGGAGAGACAGCAUCUUCAGCACUGCCCCUCUUACCGCCUCUGCUCUAAUAGGCUUUCUGCCAGGAGAGCACAUCUACCUGAAAUUACACACCACCCUGAAAUGACCAGGGGAGCUUGUGGUUUGUGAUUGUUUUGAUAUGUAUGUAUGUAUGUAUGUAUGUAUGUAUGUAUGUAUUUUGCU